GAGGACGAGAACGCUGUGGAAGAGGACACAGGGUGAGGCUUGAAAAUGGUUUCCCAGGCGGAGUCGGCAGCACUGUGACAGGUGACGGCGAGGUCGUGACAGUGGACCCUUUGCCGCCUGCCCGUGCCCACGGCUCAGAGCCAUUUAAGCAAAUCCAGAUGACAAGACGUGGGUCUCCCGGGAAAUGGAAACCAACAGCUGCGAAAUAUUGCAGCGGAACCGACUCCUGGUUUGUCAUCGGAAUGAGAGCUGGUGAUGUGGCAUAGCAGCUAAAGCGGCCGCCUGCUGUGCCAGCAUCCUGUUGACACAGGUUUGAGUCCCGGCUGCUCCACUUCCAGUCCAGCUCUCUGCUAUGGCCUGGGAAAGCAGUGAAAGAUGCCCCAAGUCCUUGGGCCUCUGGACCUGUGUGGGAGACCUGGAGGAGGCUCCUGGCUCCUGGCUUCAGAUCAGCUUAGCCAGUUGCAGCCAUGUGGGGAGUGAACCAGUGGAUGGAAGACCUCUCUCUCUGCCUCUGCCUCU
Molecule: long non-coding RNA, 519 nt
Organism: Lepus europaeus (European hare)
Lineage: Eukaryota; Metazoa; Chordata; Mammalia; Lagomorpha; Leporidae
Exons: 3
Source: RefSeq, a predicted model, not a curated record